RNAcentral lists this ribosomal RNA (394 nucleotides) under uncultured bacterium. RNAcentral describes it as "partial 16S ribosomal RNA". It matches the Rfam family "Bacterial small subunit ribosomal RNA", at positions 338 to 729 of the family's 1533-position model. The record is from RNAcentral.
CCUACGGGAGGCUGCAGUGAGGAAUCUUGGUCAAUGGACGCAAGUCUGAACCAGCCAUGCCGCGUGCAUGAAGACGGCUCUCUGAGUUGUAAACUGUUUUUGUACGGGGGUAAAUGCAGGUACGCGUAUCUGUCUGACAUUACCGUACGUAUAAGGAACGGCUAACUACGUGACAGCAGCCGCGGCAAUAUGGAGGGUACAAGCGUUGUCCGGAUUUAUUGGGUUUAAAGGGUGCGUAGGCGGUCGGAUAAGUUAGAGGUGAAAUCCCGAGGCUCAACUUCGGAAUUGCCUCUGAUACUGUACGGCUAGAGAGUAGAUGCGGAAGGUGGAAUGCAUUGUGUAGCGGUGAAAUGCGUAGAGAUCAGACAGAACACCAGUGGCGAAGGCGGCUUAC